Molecule: ribosomal RNA, 487 nt
Filed under: uncultured bacterium
Lineage: Bacteria
Description: bacterial SSU rRNA
Rfam family: Bacterial small subunit ribosomal RNA
Source: RNAcentral
AGGGUUCGAUUCUGGCUCAGAACGAACGCUGGCGGCAGGCCUAACACAUGCAAGUCGAGCGAAGCCUUCGGGUUUAGCGGCGGACGGGUGAGUAACGCGUGGGAAUAUGCCCUUUGGUACGGAACAGUCCCGGGAAACUGGGUUUAAUACCGUAUGUGGUCCUUCGUAGUGGAUACGGGGGACGAAAGAUUUAUCGCCAAAGGAUUAGCCCGCGUUGGAUUAGGUAGUUGGUGGGGUAAUGGCCUACCAAGCCGACGAUCCAUAGCUGGUUUGAGAGGAUGAUCAGCCACACUGGGACUGAGACACGGCCCAGACUCCUACGGGAGGCAGCAGUGGGGAAUCUUAGACAAUGAGGGCAACCCUGAUCUAGCCAUGCCGCGUGAGUGAUGAAGGCCUUAGGGUUGUAAAGCUCUUUCAGCUGGGAAGAUAAUGACGGUACCAGCAGAAGAAGCCCCGGCUAACUCCGUGCCAGCCGCCGCGGUAAUAC